ACGGGUGAGUAACGCGUGAGUAACCUGCCUUCAAGAGGGGGAUAACAUUCUAAAAAGAAAUGCUAAUACCGCAUGACAUAUCGGAACCACAUGGUUUUGAUAUCAAAGAUUUUAUCGCUUGAAGAUGGACUCGCGUCCGAUUAGUUAGUUGGUGAGGUAACGGCUCACCAAGACCGCGAUCGGUAGCCGGACUGAGAGGUUGAACGGCCACAUUGGGACUGAGACACGGCCCAGACUCCUACGGGAGGCAGCAUG
This 255-nucleotide ribosomal RNA is filed under the name uncultured bacterium. Its description in RNAcentral is "partial 16S ribosomal RNA". It matches the Rfam family "Bacterial small subunit ribosomal RNA", at positions 102 to 353 of the family's 1533-position model. The record is from RNAcentral.